This 841-nucleotide unclassified non-coding RNA is filed under the name Ixodes scapularis (black-legged tick). RNAcentral describes it as "uncharacterized LOC120846844, transcript variant X7". Lineage: Eukaryota; Metazoa; Arthropoda; Arachnida; Ixodida; Ixodidae. The record is from RNAcentral.
CCGAGCUGCUUCUUCGUUUCAAAUACAUUUGGCGCCGCUGCCUAUUGUUUGAGCCUGUGCUCACGAUGAAAACACGCAUCGCAGAAACCUGAAAGCCCGCCAAAAGAGCUCUAAAAACCGCAUCCCAGACCUGCCGGCAGACUUCCGAGCUAAGCCUGAUUAAACAAAAACGUUUGAUCCGGCGGAAUAAUGUGUUUGAUAUUACAUCCCAUGUCAACAAGGAACUGCGCUGUCUGUCUUCGCCCCCAACAGGUUUUAUUCUUCCGGGUUUUUCAAAUCUUUACCAACCCGCGUCCGAUCGUAAUACCCCGAUCACAACAAAUAGUUGAUCGUGCUCCGAUGGCUCCAAACAUCAGCCGGCAAGGAAGUUACGUUUUUCGCUUCUAUAUUUUGACCCAAGUGAUGGCUGGUCGUGGUUCAUCAGCGUUUGUUUUGAAACUGAUGGGUACCACAAGGCAUGAAGGAGGUGACUUGCAGCAGCAAGGCACUGCAAGCCUUCGCAGCAACUGGCUAGCCAGUGCUGCUCUGUUCUGAACUGCACUGCGUGUCAUGCGGAGGUUUUGUGCAAGCUCUCUGGGCGGCGACGCUAGCCACGAUUGGCUUCGUGGAUGCACAGAAAUACUCAAGGCGCUUGACGUCUGUGGCUCAUCUGUAUUGUUUUUCCCGGUACCACGGCAUGAAGGAGCUGGCCUCCCUCCCUUCCAUCAGCUGCGAGAUACUACAAGCACUGGGCUACAGCUGCAGCUAGCCCAUGGGUACCGUUCUGCGUCCUGUACUGCAUCUAGUUCGAAAGGCCAUGUGAAAGGCAGUAUUUCCCGUGUGUCGACGUGAGAAGGCAGCG